UACGUAGGGGGCUAGCGUUGUCCGGAUUUAUUGGGCGUAAAGGGCGCGUAGGCGGUCAGCACAAGUCAGUUGUGAAAUCUCCGAGCUUAACUCGGAGCUGUCAGCUGAUACUGAUGUGCUAGAGUGCGGAAGGGGGACUCGGAAUUCUUGGUGUAGCGGUGAAAUGCGUAGAUAUCAAGAGGAACACCUGAGGUGAAGACGGGUUGCUGGGCCGACACUGACGCUGAGUGCGCGAAAGCCAGGGGAGCAAACGGG
Molecule: ribosomal RNA, 255 nt
Filed under: uncultured bacterium
Lineage: Bacteria
Description: partial 16S ribosomal RNA
Rfam family: Bacterial small subunit ribosomal RNA
Source: RNAcentral